GGGAAACUGGGAAUAAUACUCCAUAGGUGAUAAUGGCUGGAAUGCCUCUUCACUCAAAAUUGCAAGAUGCUUAAGGAUGGGACUGCGGGAGAUUAGCCUGUUGUUAGGAUAAAAACCUAACAAAGCUAUAAUCUCUACGGGUCGUGAGAGCGAUUGCCCGGAGAUGCACUCUGAGACAUGAGUGCAGGCCCUACGGGGCGCAGCAGGUACGAAAACUUUCCAAUGCACGCAAGUGUGAGAAGGGAAUCCUGAGUGGGUCCGCUUUUGCGGGCUCUUUUCUUGAGUCUAAAGAGCUCAAGGAAUAAGUGGUGGGCAAGACGGUUGCCAGCCGCCGCGGUAAUAACCGCGCCACGAGUGGUAGUCACGUUUAUUGGGCCUAGAGCGUCCGUAGCUGGCUUGAUGUGUCUUUGGUGAAAUCCAAUAGCAAACUAUUGGGCGUGCUGAAGAUACUAUUAGGCUCGGAGCCGGGAGAGGUUGAGGGUAUUUCAUGGGUAGGGGCAAAAUCCUUUAAUCCAUGAAGGACCACCUGUGGCGAAAGCGCUUAACCAGAACGGGCUCGACAGUAAGGGACGAAAGCUUGGGGAGCGACCGGGAUUAGAUA
This 601-nucleotide ribosomal RNA is filed under the name uncultured archaeon. RNAcentral's name for it is "bacterial SSU rRNA". It matches the Rfam family "Archaeal small subunit ribosomal RNA", at positions 134 to 735 of the family's 1478-position model. The record is from RNAcentral.